RNAcentral lists this ribosomal RNA (425 nucleotides) under uncultured Actinomycetes bacterium. Its description in RNAcentral is "bacterial SSU rRNA". It matches the Rfam family "Bacterial small subunit ribosomal RNA", at positions 233 to 671 of the family's 1533-position model. Lineage: Bacteria; Bacillati; Actinomycetota; Actinomycetes. The record is from RNAcentral.
GCGGCCUAUCAGCUUGUUGGUGAGGUAAUGGCUCACCAAGGCGACGACGGGUAGCCGGCCUGAGAGGGCGACCGGCCACACUGGGACUGAGACACGGCCCAGACUCCUACGGGAGGCAGCAGUGGGGAAUAUUGGGCAAUGGAGGAAACUCUGACCCAGCGACGCCGCGUGCGGNAUGAAGGCCUUCGGGUUGUAAACCGCUUUCAGCAGGGAAGAAGCGAAAGUGACGGUACCUGCAGAAGAAGCACCGGCUAACUAUGUGCAGCAGCCGCGGUAAUACAUAGGGUGCAAGCGUUGUCCGGAAUUAUUGGGCGUAAAGAGCUCGUAGGUGGUUCGUCACGUCGGAUGUGAAACUCUGGGGCUUAACCCCAGACCUGCAUUCGAUACGGGCGAGCUAGAGUGUGGUAGGGGAGACUGGAAUUCCU